GUAGGUGGCAAGCGUUGUCCGGAAUUAUUGGGCGUAAAGCGCGCGCAGGUGGGUUCUUUAAGUCUGAUGUGAAAGCCCCCGGGCUCAACCGGGGAGGGUCAUUGGAAACUGGGGAACUUGAGUGCAGGAGAGGAAAGUGGAAUUCCACGUGUAGCGGUGAAAUGCGUAGAUAUGUGAGGAACACCAGUGGCGAAGGCGACUUUCUGGCCUGUAACUGACACUGAGGCGCGAAAGCGUGGGGAGCAAACAGGAUUAGAUACCCUGGUAGUCCACGCCGUAAACGAUGAGUGCUAAGUGUUGGGGGGUUUCCGCCCCUCAGUGCGGCAGCUAACGCAUUAAGCACUCCGCCUGGGGAGUACGGUCGCAAAGACUG
RNAcentral lists this ribosomal RNA (373 nucleotides) under uncultured organism. RNAcentral describes it as "partial 16S ribosomal RNA". It matches the Rfam family "Bacterial small subunit ribosomal RNA", at positions 527 to 896 of the family's 1533-position model. The record is from RNAcentral.